CAGCUGGACCGGACGGCCGCUCUCGUCGCGUCAAGUGAUGAGGGAGGAAAGUCCGAACUCCGCAGAGCAGUGUGCCGGAUAACGUCCGGGAGGCCGGCGUCAAGGCCGGUUGACGGAAAGUGCCACAGAAAACAUACCGCCUUUGCUGGCCCGAUUGCGGGGGCGGGGGUAAGGGUGAAAAGGUGCGGCAAGAGCGCACCGCCGUUCGAGUAAUCGGGCGGGCAGGGCAAACCCCACACGGAGCAAGACCAAAUAGGGAGGGAGUUUCGCCGUCGCUGCAGGUUUAGCAGUGAGCGAUUAGGAAUGAGCAUCGAGCCGUCCGUUAAUUCUGGGGUCGCUCGGGUCGUGCCACUAACAGCUCAUGGCUUAAUCGGCAGCGACGGCGAGCGCGUGUCGGCUCGGCGCGUCAGCACCUUCGGGUAGGUCGCUUGAGCCGCACAGUAAUGCGCGGCCCAGAGGAAUGGCCGUCCUGCGGUACGUGGUCCCCGCAAGGGGGAGCUUCCCUGCAGACAGAAUUCGGCUUACAGGUCCGGCUGCCGA
Molecule: RNase P RNA, 540 nt
Filed under: Acidobacteriota bacterium
Lineage: Bacteria; Pseudomonadati; Acidobacteriota
Description: Acidobacteria bacterium RNase P RNA component class A
Rfam family: Bacterial RNase P class A
About the family: Ribonuclease P (RNase P) is a ubiquitous endoribonuclease, found in archaea, bacteria and eukarya as well as chloroplasts and mitochondria.
Source: RNAcentral